UGCGCCUUGCCAGCCCGCUCAGAAACUUAAAGGAAUUGACGGGGGCCCGCACAAGCGGUGGAGCAUGUGGUUUAAUUCGAUGAUACGCGAGGAACCUUACCUGGGCUCAAAUGUAUGUUGACGUAUUCUGAAAGGGAUACUUCUUCGGACAAUAUACAAGGUGCUGCAUGGUUGUCGUCAGCUCGUGCCGUGAGGUGUCGGGUUAAGUCCCAUAACGAGCGCAACCCCUAUCAUUAGUUGCCAUCAGGUCAAGCUGGGGACUCUAAUGAAACUGCCUACGCAAGUAGUGAGGAAGGUGGGGAUGACGUCAAAUCAGCACGGCCCUUACGUCCAGGGCUACACACGUGCUACAAUGGCCGGUACAAAGGGCAGCUACCUGGUGACAGGAUGCUAAUCUCAAAAGCCGGUCUCAGUUCGGAUCGGAGUCUGCAACCCGACUCCGUGAAGUUGGAAUCGCUAGUAAUCGCGGAUCAGCCAAGCCGCGGUGAAUACGUUCCCGGGCCUU
This 505-nucleotide ribosomal RNA is filed under the name uncultured Sphingobacteriales bacterium. Its description in RNAcentral is "bacterial SSU rRNA". It matches the Rfam family "Bacterial small subunit ribosomal RNA", at positions 903 to 1382 of the family's 1533-position model. The record is from RNAcentral. Lineage: Bacteria; Pseudomonadati; Bacteroidota; Sphingobacteriia; Sphingobacteriales.